CCACGGGCGCACGGCGGAUGCCUUGGCACAGGGAGCCGAUGAAGGACGCGGCAAGCUGCGAUAAUCCCCGGCGAGGAGCACACAUCCUUCGACCCGGGGGUCUCCGAAUGGGCGAACCCAUCCGUAGCAGUACGGAUAUCCCGACCCCGAACACAUAGGGGCCGGGAGGACAACCCGGGGAACUGAAACAUCUAAGUACCCGGAGGAGAGGAAAUCAAUCUCGAGACUCCCCGAGUAGCGGCGAGCGAAAGGGGACCGAUGGCCAAACCGUCGAGCGGGCAUACCCGGCAGGGGUUCCGCCGACGGGGUUGCAGGGCCGCGCAUCCGGGGGCUGCCGCCCCCGGGCGCAGGUCCGGCUGGGGAGCGGAACGGCAUGGGAGGGCCGGCCGCAGCGGGUGACAGCCCCGUACGCGAACCCAGACCGGACGGCGCGACGCGGUCCCUGAGUAGGGCCGGGCACGUGAAACCCGGUCCGAACCUGGGUGGACCACCAUCCAAGCCUGAGUACUACCCUGUGACCGAUAGCGCACCAGUACCGUGAGGGAAAGGUGAAAAGCACCCCGGGAGGGGAGUGAAACAGUACCUGAAACCGUGCGCCCACGAGCAGUCGGAGCACCCUUGUGGUGUGACGGCGUGCCUUUUGUAGAAUGAGCCAGCGAGUCGCUGGCGCGGGGCGAGGUUAACCGAAAGGGAGCCGGAGCGAAAGCGAGCCUUAACAGGGCGACUUGAGUCCCGCGCCGCGGACGCGAAGCCGGGUGAGCUAUCCGUGGGCAGGCUGAAGCGGGGGUAAGACCCCGUGGAGGGCCGAACGCACGUCGGUUGAAAACGGCGGCGAUGACCUGCGGAUAGGGGUGAAAGGCCAAUCAAACCCGGAGAUAUCUCGUUCUCCCCGAAAUAGCUUUAGGGCUAGCGUCGCGCGUUCACCGCCGGAGGUAGAGCACCGGAUGGACGAGGGGGCUUCGCCGCCUACCGAAUCCAACCGAACUCCGAAUGCCGGCGGCCCAGAGCGCGGCAGUCAGAGCAUGUGGGCUAAGCUGUGUGCUCGAGAGGGAAACAGCCCGGACCGCCCGCUAAGGUCCCCAAGUUCCAGCCGAGUGGCAAAGGAUGUGCGUCCGCCCAGACAACCAGGAUGUUGGCUUAGAAGCAGCCAUCCAUUCAAAGAGUGCGUAACAGCUCACUGGUCGAGUGGACAUGCGCCGACAAUACACGGGGCUAAGCUGGACACCGAAGCGGCGGGAUUUUGAUUUUCAGAAUCGGUAGGGGAGCUUCCCAUGGGCGGUGAAGCCGCCGGGCGACCGGCGGUGGAGCGCAUGGGAGUGAGAAUGCUGGCAUGAGUAGCGAGAGACGAGAGAGUAACUCGUCCGCCGUGAACCCGAGGUUUCCUGGGCAAGGCUAAUCCUCCCAGGGUCAGUCGGGGGCUAAGGCGAGGCCGGGAGGCGUAGCCGACGCGCAGCAGGCAGACAUUCCUGCACCGCGCACGCGGCGCUACGACCGACGGGGCGACGGAUGGGGGUGGCUCGGCGGGGUUCUGGACGUCCCCGUGAUGGAGCGCGGCCCGCGGACCAGGGAAAUCCGGUCCGCAGGAGGGCGAGGCUCCGGACGAAGCGAUCAAGCGAAGCGAGUGAGCCCGAGGUCCCUAGAAAAACCCCUAGGCAGGCGCGUGCGCGCCCGUACCGCAAACCGACACAGGUGGGUGGGUAGAACAUACCGAGGCGAUCGGGUCAACCAUGGUCAAGGAACUCGGCACAAUGGCCCCGUAACUUCGGGAGAAGGGGUGCCCGCGCGUACGUGAACGGACUUGCUCCGGGAGCGGAGGCGGGCCGCAGUGGAGAGGCCCAAGCGACUGUUUACCAAAAACACAGGACUCUGCAGAAGCCGCAAGGCGACGUAUAGGGUCUGACGCCUGCCCGGUGCCGGAAGGUCACGCGGAGGAGUUAGCCGCAAGGCGAAGCCCCGAAGCCAAGCCCCGGUAAACGGCGGCCGUAACUAUAACGGUCCUAAGGUAGCGAAAUUCCU
Molecule: ribosomal RNA, 2016 nt
Filed under: human gut metagenome
Description: bacterial LSU rRNA
Rfam family: Bacterial large subunit ribosomal RNA
Source: RNAcentral